UUGCAUAGUCACAAAAGUGAUCAUU
RNAcentral lists this non-coding RNA (25 nucleotides) under Gallus gallus (chicken). The record is from RNAcentral. Lineage: Eukaryota; Metazoa; Chordata; Aves; Galliformes; Phasianidae. RNAcentral also lists the same sequence under 2 other names.